Molecule: ribosomal RNA, 310 nt
Filed under: uncultured bacterium
Lineage: Bacteria
Description: bacterial SSU rRNA
Rfam family: Bacterial small subunit ribosomal RNA
Source: RNAcentral
GACGAACGCUGGCGGCGUGCUUAACACAUGCAAGUCGAGCGGUAAGGCCCUUUCGGGGGUACACGAGCGGCGAACGGGUGAGUAACACGUGGGUGACCUGCCCUCAGCUCUGGGAUAAGCCUGGGAAACCGGGUCUAAUACCGGAUAUGACUCCAUGACGCAUGUUGUGGGGUGGAAAGCCUUGUGUGGCUGAGGAUGGGCCCGCGGCCUAUCAGCUUGUUGGUGGGGUGAUGGCCUACCAAGGCGACGACGGGUAGCCGGCCUGAGAGGGCGACCGGCCACACUGGGACUGAGACACGGCCCAGACUCC